Molecule: transfer-messenger RNA, 377 nt
Filed under: bovine gut metagenome
Rfam family: transfer-messenger RNA
About the family: Bacterial tmRNA, also known as 10Sa RNA or SsrA, is named for its dual tRNA and mRNA-like properties.
Source: RNAcentral
GGGGGUGUAUUGGUUUCGACUGGCGGAUUUUCAUGCCACCAGCUGCAGGUCAAGCGCCAACUUGUUAAACUAGCAAAACCUUUAACUGCCAAGAAAGAAGACGAUUUCGUCCUCGACGAAGCAGAAUUCGCUCUCGCUGCUUAAUCGCAGCCAGAACGGACAAGGUUUGGGACGCCCUGCCCUAGGCCCCAAGCCCUGUAAACCCUUAGGGCUUAUCUACAGCUGACGGAUGUAGGUUGUAGAGACAUCCUUCACCCUGGGUUCCCCUAGGACCGACCGACUGCCGCCGGGAACUAAGAUUCAUUAGCCGGAUCUAAGCCUGUAGACGCCGAUGGAUGGACCGUCAGGACGGGGGUUCGACUCCCCCCACCUCCAUC